UGACCCCAACUCAGUCGUGAUUACCCGCUGAAUUUAAGCAUAUAAUUAAGCGGAGGAAAAGAAACUAA
RNAcentral lists this ribosomal RNA (68 nucleotides) under Mansonella ozzardi. Its description in RNAcentral is "partial 28S ribosomal RNA". It matches the Rfam family "Eukaryotic large subunit ribosomal RNA", at positions 1 to 68 of the family's 3401-position model. Lineage: Eukaryota; Metazoa; Nematoda; Chromadorea; Rhabditida; Onchocercidae. The record is from RNAcentral.